Molecule: long non-coding RNA, 3976 nt
Organism: Poecilia latipinna (sailfin molly)
Lineage: Eukaryota; Metazoa; Chordata; Actinopteri; Cyprinodontiformes; Poeciliidae
Exons: 2
Source: RefSeq, a predicted model, not a curated record
UAUAUAGAUUAUUGAGAGAGCAUGGUUCGUACUUUAACCAUCUGAAGCAUUCAGACGGCAUUACACAUAAAAAAAAGGAUAGCAGGCGAAGAGGAGCGGAGGUGUUCUCCCGAAAAUCCACCGAGUGUGCAACGACUUCCUCACAGGUCCGGGGUUUCCUCAGAGGGCGGGAGUGACUGUCACAAUCAAAUCGUUCAUUCCACUUCUCCACCCAUUUUCCUCUCUGUCCUGUUUUUCUUCUUUUUUUUUCUCCCUCUCUCGAUUAAAACGCGAGCCGCUAACAAGUUCAAACUUCACGCGGAAGCAGACAUUUUAAUUGACAAAUUUCUAAGUUUCUUGUGUGUAACUUAAGAGACUUUCUUGCUCUUUACAUCCCGUUGUAGUGAUCUAUAUCGCCGUAAACAUUAAUACCGUGUAUAUAUUCAUCUCUUGCACCAGAAGGAAGGGGGAUUCUCGUACAAAAGCACGUCAUUUGUGAGCACACCCGUCCCCCCCUACUCUCGCUCUUUAUGUGCUGCUGGCUGGGACAGCAAGUGAAGCAACUCGGUCUAAACUUCGUCCUUCCCCUUUUUCUUUCUUCUUUUUCCUCCAACUUAAACUCAGCCGGAUCUUCAUCUUUUCUUUUUACUCUCUCCGUCGACUGCGUAAAUUUUCACUUCUCGCUUUUGUUUUCAUCGAUCCGAACACUUUGCUGCGCGAACUUUGUUCCAUCACAAUGUCCGCUUGAGAGAGCAGAGUUCGGGGGCUUUGCUGUGUGACUGGGAGAGCUUUGACGAAUUGUUGCUGCUGCAGGAAUUUAGCGUGGUUAAUAUUUUAUUUUAUUUUAUUUUAUUUUAUUUUACUGUUUUUUGUUUCUCUCUCGCACGUUGAAACAGGGGGGUGGGGGGGGUGGAUGAAGUGAGCAAUGUCUGAGGGACGUGGAUGAACUUCUAUUCACAAACUUGGAAAGUGUGACACGUGUACGUUUCCAGAGAGAGCGCGUGCGUAAAAUGAGAAAAUGUGUCUCGAGUCGCCGUAAUGACCGGGGUUUAAAGAAGGGCGAACAGCAGCAAGCAACCCUCCUUCAGCUGCCAGCUCGGGUUUGUAUCUGUGUCGGGAUGGACGGUUUUAGGGGAGGGGGGAAUCCCUUCUCACCCUGCACUCUCCCAACACAUGUGUGUGCCCUGUGAGUGUGUGUGAGGGAGAGAGUGUGUGUUUGUGUGUGUGUGUGUGCGUGAUUCCCACUGUAAACUUUCUGAAUCGGGGAUUUCAGGUGUAAGAUCGUGGUGGAGUUUUGGGAAGUAAAGUGACACCUCAACUCGACCCUCCACGGAAGGGUCUCCCUGUGUUUACACCGUGGCUCUGACCGGGGCCCCGUUCUCAUUUGCUCAGUUUGGGACAGGGCGGGGGGGAGGGUUAGGGGUGGGGGGAGUGUUUGCUUGAAGUAGUGACUUCAUGUUACAAACUCCAAAGUUUGGUGUCAGAGCACGUGUGUGUGUGUGUGUGUGUGUGUGUGUGUGUGUGUGUGUGUGUGUGUGUGUGUGUGUGUGUGUGUGUGUGGAUCGCUUCACCGUAGGGUCCAACCAGGAAAACUGGGGAAAAUACCGAGACACGUACAGGGGGUCUGGGGGGGUAAUAAUAAUAAAAACAAGUAUGAUAAAAACGCCACAGUUGUGGCAGUGCUGAAAAUGGCCAGGGUAAAUACCGACAGCAAUGAAUCGAAAUGGAAAAGUGGGCAGAAAAAGGAGGAAAGUCCAUUAAAAAUACGAUUUUUAAAAAAAUUCCACGAGUGGAAAGACCUCCACCCCCCUCACCCCCCAAACCCCUGCUCCCGGUCUUUGCGUUGAGCACGUCUCGGCGCGGCGAUUGCGCCCUCCGCAAAUGCUUUUUGGGGUAAGGGCUUCCCAGAUUAAUAGUAAUGAACAGCAAGCCCAGACCGCAAAAAGAUUCGUGAAGGACAUUAUCUUUGCUGCUGCUGCCGCCGCCGCUGCUCCUGCAGCUGAGGUCCCACGGAGACUCCGUGACACCCGGGUAGCCCCGCUCUCCUGUAUCUCCAAUCCCGGCUCAGUCGAUUGUAUCUCCAGCUUUCAGCGAGCCGCGGCUUAUAUUUCCUCCAACGUGUACUCAGAAGGAGGAAGAGGAGAGGAUGGAUGAUAGAAAAAGAUGGUGUGGGGAGGGUUGGAGGGUUUGGGGUGGAGGGGAAGAGAGGGGGGAGAUGCGUCUCCGACUACUGCUGCUGCUGCAACUGAGAGCUAUCCAAGGUCCUUACGCUCCUUCUCCAGUUUGAAUCCUUCUCUAUCCUCCCCUCACGUCUCUCCUCCCUCAAGCAUCCCCAUGCAAGCAGACUGCUUUUACAUAGAUUCUUUAUUAUUUUUUUUCUUUUUGUCCCCUAUAGCCAAACGCAAUGCCGUGCAAAACCCGUGUGAUCGCAAUGAGCUGUGCACCGAUGCGUUUUGUUGUUUGUGUGCGCGUGUGUGUGUCUGUGUGUGUGUACGCGCGUGCCUGUGUGUGUGUGUGUGUGUGUGUGUGUGUGUGUAAUGUUAUCUGCUGCCUGUAUAGUAAAAAAAAAAAAGCGCUGGCUGUCUGCAGCCGCUCUAAAGCUCUGGGUGAGGAGGGAGCAAGGCUGUAAACUGCUGGCAAUAAAUAGAGAGCAAGGAGCGAUCUGAUUGGAGCAAACUGAAUCUCGUCAUCGGCCAAUCGGUGCCUCGCUCAUAUAGGAACCCCCCUUUUUGAAAAAAAAUGGGGAAAAAAAAUUAGGCAAAAAAAAAAGACAACUAUAACCAAAUUGUAAUCUAUAUCAGCGAGUAUAUACUUAGAUUUGGAUACAAAACCAAUACUGGUUUGAAUGGGAGUUUAUAUAUAUAUAUAUAUAUUUAUAUUCAUAUAAAAAAAACAGAAUCGUGACGAGUGAAAACGAGUAAAUAUGAUAAUAGCAACAAUAAACAAGAUAUGUGACACAGCAAGGAUGAGCCAUUCCCACUUAAAACCAUGAUUAUUAUUUUUUAUUAAUAUUAUUAUUGUUUCAAAAACACACCCUUCAUGCGGCGAGAGGAGUGAUCAUGAACAGAGUAACCAAGCCAAACAUUAGUCAUAACAACUGGAUGUCGGUGGAUCGGGACUGUCCUCUCAAACACACACAGAGUCUCAGCACAGAGCAAGAGCAGGACUGGGGUCGCCUGGUCACUAGAGGGUAGAACCGCAAAAACCACAGGGGGGCUGAGGGGUGCCGGAAGGAGAGGGGGGGUGGGAGGCAGGGUCCAAACUGCAAACUAUGUCCGGAACCAUGUUAGCUGAAGGUGAGUAACAGAGGUAACAUGUCGCCAUUCCCAUUGCAGUCCAACGCAACAGUUUACUGAAGAAGAAAACAUUUUUAAAAAAAUGCACAGCACAAUGUAGAAAACAGCGCGUCCCAGAACAUCACAUUCAAGAAAUGAAAGAGGAGAGUUCACCGCGACCAUGAACCACUUUUUUUCUCUCUCUCACGCGCACGCACUCGCACUCACGCGCACGCACAGUUCGGAUCGUCUCUAAUAGGUUUUCUUCUCGAUGUUGUUUUAAAGUUAAGUUCUUUUUUCAUAUAAAGAAGUAGGAACUUACCUCUACAUUACUUUAUUUCCCCGCCCCUCCCCUCCUCCUUCCCCCACCAGCAACAGUUCCAUUAGUUUGAGUUUUGUUGUUGUUGUUUUGUUUUCUUUGUUGUUUUUGUCACAUGCAGCUGCAAAACGUUCAUCCUGGCUCUUCAGCUACUCACUAAACUGCCAUCAAGUACGGGGAAGUUGGGUGGAGGCCGGGUCACGAUCCGGACCGGACCCUCCUUCCCACCCUACCCUACCCCUCACAGCGAAACUCCCCCUAGCUCCUCUCUCUCUCUCUCUCCUCUCUCUCUCUCCCCUCUCUCUCUCUCUCUCUCUCUCUCUUUCUCUCUCUCUCCUGAUGCUGGCGGUCUGCAUUCAGACCGCCAGCAUGCCAACAAGCAGGACGACGUUCUCCAAAAAAA